Molecule: ribosomal RNA, 857 nt
Filed under: Fibrobacter succinogenes
Lineage: Bacteria; Pseudomonadati; Fibrobacterota; Fibrobacteria; Fibrobacterales; Fibrobacteraceae
Also listed under: 1 other name
Description: bacterial SSU rRNA
Rfam family: Bacterial small subunit ribosomal RNA
Source: RNAcentral
CCGGGCCAACGCGCGGUUAAUGUCCAGGAGAGUGGCCUUCCGCAUGGAGGGUUGACUAGAGAUUUAUCGGUAUGGGAUGAGCUUGCGUCCGAUUAGCUAGUUGGCGGGGCAACGGCCCACCAAGGCGACGAUCGGUAGCCGGCCUGAGAGGGUGAUCGGCCACAUUGGGACUGAGAUACGGCCCAGACUCCUACGGGAGGCAGCAGUAGGGAAUAUUGCACAAUGGGGGAAACCCUGAUGCAGCAACGCCACGUGUGGGAAGAAGCAUUUCGGUGUGUAAACCACUGUCAUGAGGGAAUAAGGCCCGCCUUCGGGCGGGAUUGAAUGUACCUUGAGAGGAAGCACCGGCAAACUUCGUGCCAGCAGCCGCGGUAAUACGAGGGGUGCAAGCGUUGUUCGGAAUUACUGGGCGUAAAGGGAGCGUAGGCGGAGAUUCAAGCGGAUUGUACAAUCCCGGGGCCCAACCCCGGUUCUGCAGUCCGAACUGGAUCUCUUGGAUAGUUCAGGGGCAGGCGGAAUUCCUGGUGUAGCGGUGGAAUGCGUAGAGAUCAGGGAGAACACCGAUAGCGAAGGCAGCCUGCUGGGGACUUAUCGACGCUGAGGCUCGAAAGUGCGGGUAGCAAACAGGAUUAGAUACCCUGGUAGUCCGCACCGUAAACAAUGCAUACUGGGUGUCCGGGGGGUUCCCCGGGUACCGUAGCCAACGCGUUAAGUAUGCCGCCUGGGGAGUACGUACGCAAGUAUGAAACUCAAAGGAAUUGACGGGGGCCCGCACAAGCGGUGGAGCAUGUGGUUUAAUUCGAAGCAACGCGCAGAACCUUACCAGGGUUUGACAUGAGAACACCGCGGCAAGAGAU